GUGACAUGAUGUAUCACAUAUUUGCUACUUCAGACGGGCAACCGAAUGAGACACAAAAAAUAUCACCAAGAUCUCUGAUCAC
This 82-nucleotide small nucleolar RNA is filed under the name Ogataea parapolymorpha DL-1. Its description in RNAcentral is "Small nucleolar RNA SNORD24". It matches the Rfam family "Small nucleolar RNA SNORD24". From Rfam's summary of the family: U24 is a member of the C/D class of snoRNA which contain the C (UGAUGA) and D (CUGA) box motifs. Lineage: Eukaryota; Fungi; Ascomycota; Pichiomycetes; Pichiales; Pichiaceae. The record is from Rfam by way of RNAcentral.